UAAGCAUGAUUUGGAGACUCCUGAUGUUC
This 29-nucleotide non-coding RNA is filed under the name Homo sapiens (human). Lineage: Eukaryota; Metazoa; Chordata; Mammalia; Primates; Hominidae. The record is from RNAcentral.